RNAcentral lists this ribosomal RNA (83 nucleotides) under Lentinula edodes (shiitake mushroom). Lineage: Eukaryota; Fungi; Basidiomycota; Agaricomycetes; Agaricales; Omphalotaceae. The record is from RNAcentral.
AUCUACGGCCAUAGGACUCUGAAAGGACCGCAUCCCGUCUGAUCUGCGCAGUUAACCAGAGUGCCGCCUAGUUAGUACCACGG